CACGCCGUAAACGAUGGGUACUAGGUGUAGGAGGUAUCGACCCCUUCUGUGCCGUCGUUAACACAAUAAGUACCCCGCCUGGGGAGUACGGUCGCAAGACUAAAACUCAAAGGAAUUGACGGGGGCCCGCACAAGCAGCGGAGCAUGUGGUUUAAUUCGACGCUACGCGAAGAACCUUACCAGGACUUGACAUGGAAUUUAAAACUCUAGAGAUAGAGCCAUAACAAGUUCACACAGGUGG
This 241-nucleotide ribosomal RNA is filed under the name uncultured bacterium. Its description in RNAcentral is "partial 16S ribosomal RNA". It matches the Rfam family "Bacterial small subunit ribosomal RNA", at positions 796 to 1041 of the family's 1533-position model. The record is from RNAcentral.